UUGCAGGCAGAUUCUUUACCAGUUGAGCCACAAGGGAAGCCCAUAUAGGGACUCUACUAUUUUUCCAACAUUUCUUUUUGGCUUAAUGUAUUUCAAAAUAAAAAUUUUAAGAUGUUGUUGUUGUUGUUGCUGUAUAUUUUGAAAUCCACAAUGGCUUCUCUCUUGAGAUUUCAGGGCCCAUCCCAGGAGGCGUAGGGCUUAUAAGCCUGAAAGCAUAGCCACAAAAUUGAUUGUAUAUUGGGCUACCUGUUUUCAAGAGCUUCCUAUAACCCACUAAAUUAUUAUUUAGUUUCCAAACACUGUGACUAUGUCCUCAUUUCUAUAAUUAUAGCUUCACAUUUAAAAGCUCUGUAUUGGUUCCAUCCAAACAAUAUGCUCUAAUUCAUUUAGCCCAUCUCCUUUUGUUGUUCAUUUUAGUGGUCUUCAAGCUUUUGCUACAAUAAACAAUACUCUGAUAUAAAAUACUUCAUAAUAUCUUGGAUGGUUUCCUUGGGAUGAAUUUUUAGAUUUGUAGUUUUCUUUCUUAUGACUAUUUAAGUAUCGGUCUUCUACUUUACAAACUCUUAAGGUCCUACUCGGAGGAGUGUCUCAUUAAUCUUCUGAGGCCUUAGGAGGUGGCUCUCACAACAUUUAAAAGUUGGUAGAAACAUUUUUUUAUCCGUUUUGAGUGUCAUUGUUUCCCACUAGACUUGGAGUCUCAAGAGAGGAAGCCAGACUAUUUUAUUAAUACAGCUGACCUUUGAACGAUGUAGGGAUUAGGGGCAACAAUGCAGGGCAGUCUAAAAUCCUCCUAUAACAUUACAGUCAGCCCUCCAGAUUCUGCAUCCUCGGAUUCAACCAAACUUGAAUCCAACCAACCUCACAUCAUGUAGUAAUGUAGUAGGUUAUUUAGUGAAAGAUAUCCACCUAUAAAUGGACUCUCACAGUUCAAACCCAUGUAAUCCAAAGGUCAUCUGUAUUUGAAUCUAGAGUUUGCCCACUAUUAAAUCUACAACAAGACGUUGUAGGCACCACUUACAUGUCUAUUAUUUAUUAUUGUACACAACUGGCACUCACAGAUUUUUUUCUUAAUCAUUUAUUUUACCUAAUUUCCCACACCAGUAGGGCAAAGCAGGCGAUUAAUAAUGCCCAUAGAUAGGAAUGAAUACUUGGCAAGAACGAACCCAUCUUCUAUCAGGCCUACCUUCCCCAAGAACCCACCUGCCAACGGAGGAGACGUAAGAGACGUGGGUUCCAUCCCUUGGUCAGGAAGAUCCCUUGGAGGAGGGCAUGGCAACCCACUCCAGUAUUCUUGUCUGGUGAAUCCCAUGGUCAGAGGAGUCUGACCUAUGGGCUAUGGUCCAUAAGGUCGCAGAGUCGGACACGACUGAACCGACUUAGCAUGCAUACAGCUUCCCUAAGAACUACAUUUCCCUCCAAGCUUGGUGUCACGCGCUCCUGUGAAGUAAAUAGAGCGGCAGUUACUUCCUACGGCCCCUUUCCGCCUUCGCCGGCCAAUGCCGCAAUGCUUCAUGGGAAGGGUAGUUCUACCGGUCGUGCUCAAGGCCCCGGCAAAGUGAGCGUAAACUAAGCUUCCCAGCGGGCAGCGCGACGGCCUGGGAAGAGGGGCAAGAUGGCGGACGCUGAAGAUGGUGUUUUGCGGCCGGUGGGAUCCUCCACUGCCCCAAUUUCGUUCAGCUUCAAUCGCACGUCCGCCCGCAGAUGGCUUGCGGGAGACGCGACUCCGGAGAAGAAGGAUUACUUGAAGACCGUGGAAGGCCGGGAGCUGCAGAGUGUGAAGCCCUCAGAAGCCCCCAAGGAACUUGUCAUCCCUUUGAUCCAGAAUGGCCAUCGAAGGCAGCCACCGACCCAGGCCCCUGGGCCAUCCACACAUACUGAGGUCUUGAUGGAUGGGAUCCUGUCCCAGGCUGUGAAGGAGCUCAUUGAGGAAUCCAAGAAGUCUCUGGAGGAGAGAGAGAAUGCGGGUGUCGACCCCACACUCGCUAUCCCCAUGAUCCAGAAAGGAUGCACCCCCAAUGGAGAAGGGACAGACAGCGAACCCCAGGCAGAGACAGUGCCGGAGGAGGCUGAUUACGAGGCAGUCCCUGUUGAGGCCUAUGGGCUGGCCAUGCUGCGGGGCAUGGGCUGGAAACCUGGCAAGGGCAUCGGCCGAACCUUCAGUCAAGUAGUGAAGCCCCGUGUCAAUUCACUUAGGCCCAAGGGAUUAGGGCUGGGCGCCAACCUGACUGAGGUCCAGGCCCUGGCCCCUACCAGCCCCUACCGCCUGCCAAGGCCAGAUGAGGAGCAAGAGAAGGAUAAGGAAGACCAGCCUCAAGGACUGGUGCCUGGAGGAGCUGUGGUGGUUCUUUCUGGCCCCCACCGAGGCCUCUAUGGGAAGGUGGAAGGCCUUGAUCCUGACAAUGUUCGAGCCAUGGUCCGUCUGGCUGUGGGGAGCCGCAUGGUGACUGUUAGUGAGUAUUGCCUGCGGCCUGUCUCCCAGAAGGAGUUUGACAAGAACUUGAAUCUGAGUCAAGUGAGCAGAACUUCCCCUGGGGAACAGCACAGAACAACCUCAUCACGGAAGACCCUCCAGGAUCAGGACAGCCACAUGUGGUGGGAGGAUUCAGAGAGGAAGCGGAAACACCAUUCAGACCGACAAGAUGGGCCUGCAGCCAAGAAUGAGAAAGCAGCCCCCCGGAGUCAGCACUGGCUGCACAGAGAUCUGCGAGUGCGGUUUGUGGACAAGCUGCACAAGGGCGGCCAGUAUUACAACACCAAGAUGACAAUUGAAGAUGUCCUGAGCCCAGACACCUGUGUGUGUCGGACAGACGAAGGCCAAGUCUUGGAAGGCCUAAGGGAAGACAUGCUGGAGACCCUGGUCCCCAAGGUCCCAGGUGACCAAGUGAUGGUGGUGCUGGGGCAAUGGGCUGGAAGGGUGGGCCGUCUGCUGGACCGGGACAGAACACGGAGCCGGGCUCUGGUACAGCUGCAGAGAGAAGACAGGGUGGUGGAGCUUCACUAUGAUGCCAUCUGCCAGUUUGUGGGCCUCUGGGACAUGGAGGAAGACUGACCUGUGGACUCACUCCCAUCCCCCGGGCUGUUUCCAGUCCUGUACAAUGUGAAAAGCCCGCCUUUGUGAAGAUCUAGGCUUCUGGUAUACACUCCUGAUGCUUCAGAACAGGGCACCACUGUGGAGAAUUUGAAUACUUCCCCCUCAAGAAGAAGAAUAAAGGUAAGCUGCUGUCUACACCAAGCAGAAGCAGAUUAUUGUUCUGAGCCAAAAUGAGCAGGUAUAGAAAGACAAUGAGUUGGCCAUAGGCGCAGUAAACUAAGGGAUUAGAAAACCUUCUAGUAUAGUCACCCCAAUAUGAGGGACACUUGCACAGACUGGCUUAUUUUUUUUAAAUCAUCCCUAAUUAAUUCCGGAACUCAUCUGUUUUCAAGAUUAGCUGAACAGGGUUAUUAAGGCAGAUACCAGAGAGCAACCCCACCCUCAGUCCCUCCAGUUCUUGUGUCAUCACUGUGAUUGUACACACUGCCCUGGAAUUACAGGCUGACUUGUGUUUUUAAUCUUGGAAAGGGUUGGGAGUUCUGUGCCUAGUCGCUCAGUUGUGUCUGACUCUGCCACCCCAUGGACUAGCCCACCAGGCUCCUCUGUC
This is an RNA transcript of Odocoileus virginianus texanus, 3638 nucleotides long. It is a transcript of the gene named G-patch domain and KOW motifs, with no coding region annotated. Lineage: Eukaryota; Metazoa; Chordata; Mammalia; Artiodactyla; Cervidae. The record is from RefSeq and is a predicted model, not a curated record.